Molecule: long non-coding RNA, 617 nt
Organism: Panicum hallii
Lineage: Eukaryota; Viridiplantae; Streptophyta; Magnoliopsida; Poales; Poaceae
Exons: 4
Source: RefSeq, a predicted model, not a curated record
UCAGGACCGAACCGUGCUGACGAUGAUGAGACGUCAGAAUGGCUACACAGGAGUGACAGCUUCAUCAGAGAUUCAAGUUGCGGGCAAGGGAUCGAUGCCCUCGGGCGUGGGAACAACCUGAAUUCACACGAGAUGAAUUUUGUACGUGGGGGUGGUAACCAAGAUGAUAAUCUUUCGACUGAAAAGGAUGUUGCUGAGUUAUUUGUUAAUCCAGAUGAGACUUGUGCUGUCAAUGAGGGGGAAAUUGCAGGCUAUUCACAAAUGGAUCUUUGAAUAACGCCAAUAUUGAUGACCAACCCAAUAUAGAUGAUAUUGGAGUACCACGUACAGGCACUAGGUACCUAGUACGGCUCUGCCGAUCCUAAUGCAGUGCAAGCAGUCUGCACUAUUUUACUCCAUCGCAUAAUAAUACUAUAGUCCAGACUCGGUACAUAAAAUUAGGUUUGAGUGCAAUAGAUCUUAGUGUGAAUAUAUAUUAUUGUUUUGUCAGAAAAAAUAAAGACUAUAAUCAACUUUGUAUUGUACCUGAGUAUUGAAUAUAUAUCUCUUCUCUACUACUAAAAAAGGCUAAGUAAGACUUUUUUUCGCUCGUCUUUUCGUUUCGUCCGUCGUCCGUU